This 492-nucleotide ribosomal RNA is filed under the name Blastocystis sp. RNAcentral's name for it is "SSU rRNA". It matches the Rfam family "Eukaryotic small subunit ribosomal RNA", at positions 460 to 952 of the family's 1831-position model. Lineage: Eukaryota; Bigyra; Opalinata; Blastocystidae. The record is from RNAcentral.
UGAGGUAGUGACAAUAAAUCUCAAUACGAAGCCUUUGGUUUUGUAAUUGAAUUGAGAACAAUGUACAAUCGUUAUCGAUAAACAAUUGGAGGGCAAGUCUGGUGCCAGCAGCCGCGGUAAUUCCAGCUCCAAUAGCGUAUAUUAACGUUGUUGCAGUUAAAAAGCUCGUAGUUGAAGUUUAGAUAAUUUAUUGAAAGUGUUUGUAUUCGUACAUUCUACUUUUAUGUAAGUUAUCGACAUCCAGGUGGGUGCCAUGGUUCCUUCGGGGGUCGUGAUACUAGACUGGUCAUUUACUGUGAGAAAAUUAGAGUGUUUAAAGCAGACUUUCUAAAUAGUUUGAAUAGAUUAGCAUGGAAUAAUAAGAUUGGCUUUCAUAGUCGAUUUUUUGGUUUGUUUAUGAAAGCAAGAUUAAUAGGGACAGUUGGGGGUAUUCAUAUUCAAUAGCUAGAGGUGAAAUUCUAUGAUUUAUGGAAGAUGAACAAGUGCGAAAGC